GAUGAACGCUGGCGGCGUGCCUAAUACAUGCAAGUCGAGCGAACAGACGAGGAGCUUGCUCCUCUGACGUUAGCGGCGGACGGGUGAGUAACACGUGGAUAACCUACCUAUAAGACUGGGAUAACUUCGGGAAACCGGAGCUAAUACCGGAUAAUAUAUUGAACCGCAUGGUUCAAUAGUGAAAGACGGUUUUGCUGUCACUUAUAGAUGGAUCCGCGCCGCAUUAGCUAGUUGGUAAGGUAACGGCUUACCAAGGCUACGAUGCGUAGCCGACCUGAGAGAGUGAUCGGCCACACUGGAACUGAGACACGGUCCAGACUCCUACGGGAGGCAGAAGUAGGGAAUAUUCCGCAAUGGGCGAACGCCUGACGGAGCAACGCCGCGUGAGUGAUGAAGGUCUUCGGAUCGUAACACUCUGUUAUUAGGGAAGAAAAAAUGUGUAAGUAACUCUGCACGUCUUGACGGUCCCUAAUCAGAAAGCCACGGCUAACUACGUG
RNAcentral lists this ribosomal RNA (497 nucleotides) under uncultured bacterium. Its description in RNAcentral is "partial 16S ribosomal RNA". It matches the Rfam family "Bacterial small subunit ribosomal RNA", at positions 28 to 507 of the family's 1533-position model. The record is from RNAcentral.